Non-coding RNA from Tetranychus urticae (two-spotted spider mite), 5392 nucleotides. The record is from RefSeq and is a predicted model, not a curated record. Lineage: Eukaryota; Metazoa; Arthropoda; Arachnida; Trombidiformes; Tetranychidae.
UGUUGGGUUACUGCCAACUGCUCGUUAUAAUUUAAUGUUAGCAAAUUAUUUUAUCAAAUUGUGUUUUCCCUUUGCUGCUUUAUAAAUAACAUUAUUGUUGAUUCAAUUUAAAAUCAUCAUCAACAUUAUUCUUGUUAUUAUUGUUUUCUAUUCUUUUUCUGUUAUUCUCUUAUUUUUUUCAAAUGAUCAUCUAUUGCUGUUUAACCAACGUCAGUUUUUCCUAUCAAAAGAUAUUAUAAGUAAACAUUGUUAACAAUCUUUGAUAACAACAAUUUGGUCUUAUUGUAACCUUUGGGGCAUUAUCAGGAUGACAUUGAAUCUUACUCAAUCAUCUGAUCACUGUUAUUUAAUCGAAACGUAUUUCUAUACUCAUACACACACAUAAUAAACAAUUGAAACAUUGUGUUGUGUUGCUUUUGUGUUGAAUAAAUUGAAGAGGAAGAAAAGAUAUUGGCUUCAAAUUGGUGUUUAUUUGGCCUUUUUUUAUUAUCGCUCUUGUUUAUUCAUUUAUUUUUCACACUUUGACCUAACAAUUGGGAAUUUAUAGUUUACAAGUGCAGGUUGAAAGGUUUUCUCAUCGCAGGUCAAUCAGGGUUUUCAUUAUUGAUUACGAGUUGAGUUUGGUUGAAAGUAUUUUCAGUAUACUUUUGCUGGAGCUGUUGAUAGUUUCAUUAUGAUAAUAUUGAUGAUGAUUGAAAGUGAACCAUCAUAAGGAUCAUCAUCUUAAACUAGAUCUACCUUCUUAAGUCACUUUACUUCAAUUUGAUCCUUGAUUUAUACAGUUUACUGUAAAUACUCUAAAUAAUUCAUCUUGAAUGUUUCUUUUAUUCAUGAGGUUUGGGUCAAACAUAAGGAAUUGGUCAGUCAACAGAUGCACUCUUUUGCCUUAAACAGAAGCAAUCAACACUUUAGCCGAAAAAUAAAAACAUUUACCAAUAAAACAACAAAAAAUGAUAAUUUUCAACUAAACCCUUGGCAAGUUGAUUGAUUUACAUUGAAUAAACGUUGAAAUUUAACAUUGGCGCUAAAAAAGAUAGUGAUGUCAGCUAUUUUUUUCAACCAAUGACUUUGAAAUAUAAAACCGUUAGAUAAGUUUAAGACAAUGCUUCUUCAAUUUUAAGAUUUAAACUUUAUUUCUUGUGUUAAUUAAAAGUGAAACCUUCAAAAAUGAUAAUUACACCAACAGUUUCAACUCUUCGGGUGAAAUUAAAGCCGAAAAUGGUGGCAAUGAUAUUGAUGGAACAUUGGAUUCAGGCCAAUGGAAAAGAAACACGCCAAACCGUUAAAUCUUGAAAUAUCUUUAACAAUAAGAAAUUGUAAUUCACUGGUCAUGGAUCGCUUGGUAAGGUUAAUUGCUUCAAAUGCCAUUCCAUGGAGAGCGUUGCUCUAUUUUUUCACUGUGUAUCUAGCUGGAGCGUGGAUUACAUGUUUAAAUGUUUUGAUUUAUGGAAGGACCAAAGAUUUGUUGACUGACUAUAUUUUCCAUGUGGGUAUGGCAAGGAACAUGAAUGCAACAAAAGUUGACAGUCAAAAUGGAUACAAAAUGCUUUGGUCUACUGCCAACAUCAUAUUACAUGUGUCUAUGAUUCAUGGAAUAAUUUAUAUUUUUUGGAAUCUUAUUUCUCGAUUACCGUAACAAUAACUAAAUGAACCACUUGAUAACUGAAUUUCUGGAAGGAUUCACAGUUUCAAAAUUUUGGAUGAUAGUUGAAAGAGAAGAGCAAAGUUAGCUCUCUUAGCAAAGUAUAUUUUAUUUGUUACCACUUUGCGAUUCAAGUAAACAAUACGAACAGACGAACAAGACUGGAUUGAAUUCAAUGACAAACGUUCACCAGGCCAAUUGAUUUUUACCCUUCUUGGAUUUCCUUGGCCGCUCUUUUCAAAGUACAUUCAACUUUACAUGGAAAUCCAUUGAACUAUCUAAUAUCCUUCGUUUUUUUUCUUCAUUUUACUUUGAAUUUGUUUCACAUUCUCUCAUAUUCUAUUUAUUUUGGGUUUAUCAUCUUCAUGAGAUGAGGAAACAUGAAGGGAAAAUAAUAAGAGUGUUCAAUGUUUCCACAGUUUUUGUUUCACCAAAUCAAUCCAUGGGAUUGGAAAAGUAAAGCAACGAGAAAGGAAACAAAUCGUAACAUUGCAAACAAUCAAAAAACUUUAUCGUCAAGAUUGAAAGAUGAAGACGAGUGAGAAAGAUGUAAGAUGAUAAAGUAACCCAAAAAUACAGAGGCAAAGAAACAAUUGGUCGAUACUUUGGUUCCCAAUUGGGUCCCCAUUUUGUGUUUAAAGAUGAAGAGAGGAAAAAAAAGGAAGAAAGAUUUAACCCCUUUUCUGUCUGUCUUUUUCUCUCUCCUUUUGUCCCUUCAACUCACACUUUUCAACUCUUUCAGCUUUACUUCAUUAACGUUCAGUGUACUUCUGCAAACGAUUCAAUUCCUUGUCUCUCUGUGUUACCUUAUUUAUAUACUCUUAUUUCUUGAAUCAAAUCUUUUCCUUCUCUUCACUUUUUGUUCUUCUUCUUCAUCUUCUCCUAGUUUCAUGUUAUUCUUUAUGAUAAGAAUUGUCAGUCAACUAACAAACAUGGAAAAUGCCUUUUUUAUUGAACAAAAUAAGAUAUAGUUAUUUCGAGUUUUUUCAACCUUUAUUAUAUGAAAGGUGAAAAGAAUGAGAAUGAAAAAGUGAAAGAGAAAGAAACAGAUUGAUGAAGACAGAACUGAUAGAUAGAAAGAUAAAUAUACCUGAAAUUGAAGUUAGUCUACAAAAUUUUCAUCUUUUAUUUUCUCUCUUUAUCUUUUAUCUUUUCCUUUAUCAUCUUCAUCUUGAUCAUCGUCUUCAUCUUCUUCUCUCCUGACAAUUCUUCAAUUUAUUACCAAAAUCAUUGAAGCAACUCUUAAAUUCCUCCAAGCAAAAUAAUGUUCAGUUAUUUUUGUUUCUUCCUCUCCCUUUCUCAUCCACUUUAUCCUUACCUCUUUAUCAUCUUUAAAUCUUCCCCUUUCAUUCACCAUCUUCAUCAAGACGAUGAUAAUUUUUUCAACCUUCCCAUGAAAUAUCAAAAUUAUAUUAUUCCAUUUCACCUUAUAGUGCAUAUUUAAAUAUCAAUUGAAGACAAUCUGGUUAACUCGACAAUCAACCCUGAAAUGUUGGAAACAAAUGAACCAAAAGUAGCUACAUUUAGACAAUCAAAUAACCAUUGUCGUAUUGCAUUUAAAUCAACCAGCUAAUUUUGACGUUGAAAACAAUUUGAAUCAAGUAAAUUCAUCUAAAUUGAUCAACCAAAGAGAAACAUGUAAAACAUUUACAAUGGUUAAUUGUUUGAUUAAUUUUGAUUCCUUUUUCCUUCUAUUAUCACCAAUUUUCACUUUCCAAAUUGAUUUAGUCAAAAUUUUGAUCCAUUUUAGGGCAACAUUCAAGUUGAUUGUAGUUAUUCAUGAUUGAUAAGUUAACCAAGUUUGAUUGCAGCAAAUGUUACAAAAGGUUAAUCGUCUAUCUAAUGGUUAAAUGUCAAUGGUAAAGGUUAAACAUUAGACUUGUAAAGAGAGUGAAACCUCUUUAGGUUGAUGGUAAACUUGUGAAAAUGUUAACCAAAAAGAUAUUUCUUCAGCUAAUAUCAUCAUCUCAACUCAUUGGAAAAGGCUUGUUGUGAACAAAAAAGAUAUCAAAGACGUCACAAGGAAACAAAAAAGGAAAGAUGGCAAAGAAGAAGAAGAAGAAGAAGAUAAAUAAGAAUGAGAAUCGACUGGAAGUAAAAUCAAGGGAAUGAUAAGAUACAAUCUGUUGUAAAAGUGAAAAAGUAGCUGAGUUCAGUAGAUAUUUUGACGAACCAUGUAAGCAACAAAAAAACGGGUUCAAGUGAUUUUUUAUUAGCAUAAUGGGCUUCCCCUUUAUAUCAUCAUUUUCCCUUCUUCCAUCUUGUUCAAGAUGAUGAUGAGGAUGAGGAUAUUUUUUCCUCUCUUGUCUCUCUGCUGUGUUGAUCUCAAUUGAAUUACCCAUUGGAACUGAAAGCAUCUAAAGAGUAAGAAAAUAGCAUCUGAGGAAGAAGAUGAGAAAAACAACCAAGGAAAAAAAAGAACAAGUUCAGCUGAAUCAGUAAAUUAUUCAAACUGGCAAAAUAAUUAGCAUUACAUUUGAUGUUGCCUCACCAAUGGUUCAAUCGAUCACAAAAUUGGAUACAAAUUAGUCAGUUUGAUUGAUGAAAACGCUGCAAUUGAUGAAUUUACACUAAACUGUUAAAUUGAAAUGGAAAGCACAAGAAAGCCAGUUGUCCAGAAAAGGAUCAAGACUCAACCAAUUUAAACAACUCAAUCAGAGAUUCCGAUUCCCUUCCAAAUAUCAGCACUUGCAGCUAAUUGUGCCAUCUUAUUGGAUCCGAUGUGGUCAACAAAAGUCGUCAGAAUCGAAAUAUUCUGAGGAAUUAUUUUUCUUCUCAUGGCAAAUGACGACAGAAUAUAUUUUUGAUUUUAAAAGCUUUUGUUGUUUCAGUGAUAAUGAUUUCUCGCUUCUAUGGAAUCUUAUUUUUCUUGUGAUUUUCUCAUUCUCUGGCGAGUUUAGGUAUCUCGACCUUUUUGAGCUUCUUUGAGGUCUUUGAAGGGCAACAUUUGAUGGCACAAAAGUAUGAUUUUUGAUCUGAAAAGCUUUUAUUUUUGGAAUUUUUUGUCACUUUUGUCAGUCUUUUUGUUCACUUCUAAUUGCAAAAGGCAUUAAAAGUCGCAAAAUUUUUAUCUGUUUACAUUGACUCAAUUGAAACUGUUUGACUAUACAAUGAACCAUUAAGAGCCCAUUAUAAGUCUUAUAAGAUUAAACUCUUGAUUUUGACCAUCAUAUCAUCUGAUCAUUAUUAUCAUCAUUAUUUCUAAUGGUCACUGUAUUUUGAGCAUUUCAAGUCAUCUUUAGCUGUUUUUCCUUGCGAGUGAAAAUGGGAAAACAUUUUGCUGCUCAUUUCAUUUCAUGAGGUUAAAUUAUUGUUAAUAGUUAGUUUGACAUCAUUUGAACUCAAAAUGAACAGUAAAAAACAAAAUUUCAACUCAUCUUCACCAUCAUCUUGAUGAUCAUCUUCAUCUUAUUUCUUAUUUAUCCAGAAUAAAUCUUGUAAGGCAAUUACAGUGGACAAUACAAAGGCAAAAAGAUGAAAUUGAUGACAUUAACUUGUCAUGAUAUUUAAUUUUAAUUCACUUUAAAGUAUCAUCCUUUGGCACCAAAUUUCAAACUAGACAGUUCAAUUUGUCGCAAGUAAUUUAACCCAAGACAAAAAAACAAGUAAAACACAGAUGACAUUACACCAAAUAUAAAAUGUAACAAUCAAUUUCUGAUUCCUCUUAAAAUUGAACUCAACAUUGACAACAAAAACAACAAAACAAAAAAGAGAAAAGCAAAGACUUGGAAUGAAAUUUUCAAAGUUCAU